AGGAUCAUUAGAAUUUUGAAUGCAAGCUAGAGACCCGGGUCCGGCCCCCGGAGGGUUCCACAACCCCGGAGGGGCUGCGCCCGGUUGUCUGCCGAUGCUGCUUCAAACCCUCUGUGUACCUUUACCACCGUUGCUUCCCGUCAGGCUUCUGGCCUGGCGGGGAGGUAAUCCUAAACUCAUGUUUUCCAUGUAGUCAGUAUGAGCGGCUCCGCCGCGAAAAAUAAAAAGUUAAAACUUUCAGCAACGGAUCUCUUGGUUCUCGCAUCGAUGAAGAACGCAGCGAAAUGCGAUAAGUAGUGUGAAUUGCAGAAUUCAGUGAAUCAUCGAAUCUUUGAACGCACAUUGCGCCCUCUGGUAUUCCGGAGGGCAUGCCUGUCCGAGCGUCAUUAAGCCCCAUCAAGCAAUAUUUUGCUUGGUAAUGGUGGAAGAUCGACCUUUGCGGCGUUCUCCAUUCAAAGUGAUCUGGCGGAGAGCCCCUGGUCUUCGUGGACGUAGUAAGAUUUUCUAUCGUCUACCGAAUGGGCCGGUUAUCCAGCCGUCAACGUACGCUUCUGGGAUUUCCUCGGAUCAGGUAGGGAUACCCGCUGAACUUAAGCAUAUCAAUAAGCGGA
This 611-nucleotide ribosomal RNA is filed under the name Rickiella edulis. Its description in RNAcentral is "eukaryotic LSU rRNA". The stretch from base 233 to 386 matches the Rfam family "5.8S ribosomal RNA". Lineage: Eukaryota; Fungi; Ascomycota; Pezizomycetes; Pezizales; Sarcoscyphaceae. The record is from RNAcentral.